GAAAAAAAAUCUGACCUGUCAAGACAACAAUAAAAUGGCAGGUUACAUAAUUACAUUCUACAAAAACAAAAUGGCAUCCAAUGGUUGAGGAUUUCACGGUUUUUUUCAGGGAUUUUUUAGGGCCGUAAAACGGCCCCAAAAACUCAAUCUUGAAUUGAGUUUUGAAACUCAAUCUUCUCAUCAAAAGAUUCUGUGCAGUAAAAUGAAGUUGUUUGAGUUAAAUUCAUGACGUGUGCAAAUUAGUUUUCAGUUGAAAACCCGAAAAUUAAGUAAAAAAUGGCUGGAAAUCAUUUCACAACACAAGAAAAACAACACAUUCGCCGUCUUUAACCAGUUUAUAGUGUUCCUUAGUGCCCCUGCUUUAACACAUUGCAUCUCAACGACACUAAAGUAAGC
Paramuricea clavata is the source of this 396-nucleotide non-coding RNA. The record is from the annotation of a GenBank genome assembly. Lineage: Eukaryota; Metazoa; Cnidaria; Anthozoa; Malacalcyonacea; Plexauridae.